CGGCAGUGAGACAAAUAAUGACGAGAGAGUGAUCGAAUGAAUAAGAAAGAGUAGAGAAUCUCCAGAUCCAAAAACAAGCAAAGAAGAAGAUCUGCAUAAACCAGAAGAAGCGGAUAGAAGUUCUUUACACACAGGUAGAGUCUGAAAACUGCUUCAGCAGGGCAUUAUGGGAUAUUUGAUAAAUAUGGACAAAAUCAUCCAGCCGUGUGAGGCGGUGUCUUUGAAAGCGCACAUGUUUCAGGUCCCACUGGCGCUUGUCCAUAAUGUCUUGUGUUUUGUUUUGGUUCUUAUUGGCCAGGCACUCUUGUGUUGUCAUGUUUUGUGUGAACAUGCAGUCUGUGAGUUCUCAUAGUUGCGUGUUCAUGUCUCGUUUUGUGUAAGCACAUGGCUUGUGAUUUUGUUUUCAUUGGCCAUGUGCUUGUGUUUUUAUGUUUGGUGUGAGCACAUGGCUUGUCAUAGACAAACUUUAAGUUGGCUUGAAAAAGCCUAGCCAGAAAGUUUGGAGUCGUUUUAAAAGCUUGAAGUUUGAAAUAGUUUUUUUAGUUUAGUAGUUUAAAAGCUAGCUAGUGUGUGAGUGAGUGUGUGUGUGAGUGUGUGAGUGAGUGAGUGUGUGAGUGAGUGUGAGUAAGUGAGUGUGAGUGAGUGUGUGAGUAAGUGAGUGUGUGAGUGAGUGAGUGUGUGAGUGAGUGUGUGUGUGAGUGAGUAAGUGAGUGUGUGAGUGAGUGAGUGAGUGAGUAAGUGAGUGUGUGAGUGAGUGUGUGAGUAUGUUAGUUAGUGUGUGUGGGAGUGAUUGCUAUGUGGUUGCUAGGGUACUCAGGGUGGUUGCUAAGGUGUUGCUAUGCAACAGCUAAGGGACCCAGGAUGGUUGCUACGGUGUUACUAUAGUAUUCUGGGUGGUUGCUAGGGUGUUGCUGUUAUACAAUACAGAUUGACUCAAAGCAUUUGUUACAUAUAUAUGAACAUACACAGACAUACAUAUGCAUAAUAUCUAUAAUAUAAUAAAUUAUGUAUUUAAUAUAUAUAUAUAUAUAUAUAUACACACACACAUUUAUUUAAUUUACAUUUAAAAAGCAACAACAUUAUCUUAAGAUUAAUUAAAACUCGUUUAAUGCAAAGAUGUGAUGUAAUUAAAUAAAUUAUUGUUUUCCCUUAUUUUUCCCAACAAAACUAAGCAAAUGAACAGAACGUUGACUGAUUCAGUGAUAAAUUAAUUAUUAUUGUUAGUAUUCAUUAAAUAUUUCUGAAAUGUAUAUUAUCAUUUUUUGUCAAAUGCCCAUUUAAUGGUUGACAAACACACCAUUGCACAGUAAACAUACUAGCAGGAUUUUAGAUCAAAUCACACAGACGUUACUAUUAAAGCUGUAAAUUGUUGAAGAGCUGAAAAUGUUUUAAGUUGUAUUUGUCUAAUAAAGAAGUACUUUAAUUCUCA
This is a long non-coding RNA of Ctenopharyngodon idella (grass carp), 1429 nucleotides long. RefSeq lists it as uncharacterized. Lineage: Eukaryota; Metazoa; Chordata; Actinopteri; Cypriniformes; Xenocyprididae. The record is from RefSeq and is a predicted model, not a curated record. The transcript has 2 exons.